RNAcentral lists this ribosomal RNA (460 nucleotides) under uncultured bacterium. RNAcentral's name for it is "partial 16S ribosomal RNA". It matches the Rfam family "Bacterial small subunit ribosomal RNA", at positions 338 to 795 of the family's 1533-position model. The record is from RNAcentral.
CCUACGGGGGGCAGCAGUGAGGAAUAUUGGUCAAUGGGCGCAAGCCUGAACCAGCCAAGUCGCGUGAGGGAUGACGGUCCUAUGUAUUGUAAACCUCUUUUGUCGGGGAGCAAGGCCCGCCACGUGUGGCGGGAAGGAGAGUACCCGAAGAAAAAGCAUCGGCUAACUCCGUGCCAGCAGCCGCGGUAAUACGGAGGAUGCGAGCGUUAUCCGGAUUUAUUGGGUUUAAAGGGUGCGUAGGCGGAAGUUUAAGUCAGCGGUAAAAUGUCGGUGCUCAACACCGGCCUGCCGUUGAAACUGGUCUUCUUGAGUGAGCGAGAAGUAUGCGGAAUGCGUGGUGUAGCGGUGAAAUGCAUAGAUAUCACGCAGAACUCCGAUUGCGAAGGCAGCAUACCGGCGCUCAACUGACGCUGAGGCACGAAAGCGUGGGGAUCGAACAGGAUUAGAUACCCCUGUAGUC